GACGAACGCUGGCGGCGUGCCUAAUACAUGCAAGUAGAACGCUGAAGGAGGAGCUUGCUUCUCUGGAUGAGUUGCGAACGGGUGAGUAACGCGUAGGUAACCUGCCUGGUAGCGGGGGAUAACUAUUGGAAACGAUAGCUAAUACCGCAUAAGAGUAGAUGUUGCAUGACAUUUGCUUAAAAGGUGCAAUUGUAUCACUACCAGAUGGACCUGCGUUGUAUUAGCUAGUUGGUGGGGUAACGGCUCACCAAGGCGACGAUACAUAGUCGACCUGAGAGGGGGAUCGGCCCACCUGGGACUGAGACCCGGCCCAGACUCCUACGGGGAGCAGCAGGAGGGAAUCGUCGGCAAGGGGCGGAAGUCUGACCGAGCAACGCCGCGGGAGGGAAGAAGGGUUUCGGAUCGGAAAGCUCGGUUGUAAGGGAAGAAAGAGUGUGAGAGUGGAAAGUUCACACUGUGACGGUAUCUUACCAGAAAGGGACGGCUAACUACGUG
RNAcentral lists this ribosomal RNA (495 nucleotides) under uncultured bacterium. RNAcentral's name for it is "partial 16S ribosomal RNA". It matches the Rfam family "Bacterial small subunit ribosomal RNA", at positions 28 to 507 of the family's 1533-position model. The record is from RNAcentral.